RNAcentral lists this long non-coding RNA (1528 nucleotides) under Mus musculus (house mouse). RNAcentral describes it as "predicted gene, 26644". Lineage: Eukaryota; Metazoa; Chordata; Mammalia; Rodentia; Muridae. The record is from RNAcentral.
AACUGAGUGCUGGAUAACUCCAGAUGAGGGGAAGCUAGGGGUAGCGGCUGAAUAGACAGGGCCAACACUUCGGCAAGGGAAGGGGCUGUGUGCGAAGGAGGGCUCUUGGCCCUGCUGCGGCGAGGAAUAGUUGGAGAGGGGCGGGAGCACCAGGGCAGAGUUUCCCCGGAGUUGCGAACAGACACCAAAUCUACUGUCUCGGAUCCAACCGCGCGCCGCCCUCCCUUCCUCCUCUCGCCGCAGCUGUGUGGAUGUGAGGAGCAGGCGGAGCGCGCCUGAGCCGGGAGCCGGGAACAUGCAUCUCCUUUAAAGAUAAUAGGAAGAAAGAGGCUUGGCAUGGAGCAAGCUACUUAAGGACUAUUUAGGAAGAGACCUCCACAUGAAGGUGUUGGGAAGAACAGCACAUUGAAUAGUGACAUCCCUACGACAUGCCUCUCCAGGUGGUGCGACAUGCCUCUUCUCUUACCCAGGGCGCCUUGCCUCAUUAUCUCCCCCCCACCCCCCCUUUGAGUCACAGGAAGAAGAUGUGACUUUGAGAAACUGGUCUUCAAACUGGAGAGAGAGAGAGAGGGGCAUCUAGGUAAUGCUAAGUCAGAUUUUGAGACCUCCGAGGCUUGGUGCCCGUGUGUGUGUGUGUGUGUGUGUGUGUGUGUGUGUGUGUGUGUGUGUGUGCGCGCGCGCGCAUGCAUGUGUGUAGAAGGGGGAACAUGGGGACAUGGAUACAGGAGACGACACGAUGUAGGACUCCCUCCGUCCUAGUGCCCCACUCCUUAGCAAGGGUUCCCAGCUCAUGUCCAGCAGAAUAACAUUUUAGUUUCCAACUAAAGCGAUCAUCCUGAAAGUACCCGAAAGCAUUUUCCUCUGGGGAUGAACUCCAUAGAGCCUUGGGGCUCCGGGUGAUUUAGCAGCCAAAGACUGCACUGCUCCCUAGAGUAGUCCUUCUGAGGAAGUGUUAGCUUCUCCUCCAUGCUUCCCGGACACUGGAGGGACUGCAACUCCUGUGUGGGACUCUUCUGUUUCAGUCGAUUCUAACAAUUGAUCUUACAAGGAGUCGAGGAAGAAGGAGGAGGAAGAGAAAGGUAAAGGCAGAGGAGGAGGAAGAAAGAAAAGAGGAAGAGGAGGGGGAAGAAAAAGAAGAAAGAAAAAGGGAGGAAGGGAAAGGAAGGAGAAAUAGGUCCAGUCUGGCCGGGUCUGCAAAGGAGAUGUGCUUCAAGGACGGCGAUUGUUAUGGUCUUAAUGUUUGUGUCUCCUUAAAAUCCACACGCUGGAAGGAACCUUUGGCCCUAAAGAUGGCAGUACAGAGAUGUUGGGCCUUCUGUGGGUGGUUUGGUCAUGAAGACAGAACUGCCCUCAUUCCCAGCUGGACUAGCACUCUUAUAAAACAAGCUCCAAGACCUGUUUGCCUUCCCUCCCAUGUGAGCUGAUUAUGACAAAGGAAGUAGGGCCCAGCCAGACCCCCACCCCCACCCCGAACCUUGAUCUCGGACUUCUCUGAAACUGUGAGGAAUAAAUGUUUAUUUGUGAGUAA